AGCUUUGCGCAGUGGCAGUAUCGUAGCCAAUGAGGUUUAUCCGAGGCGCAAUUAUUGCUAAUUGAAAACUCUGUCUGAUCUAAGGAGGAAAUCUGAAGUGCAAUAAGUGAGGAAUUUGGGGAGGCCAGGGAGAUGG
Small nuclear RNA from Octodon degus (degu), 136 nucleotides. Its record names the gene U4. It matches the Rfam family "U4 spliceosomal RNA". From Rfam's summary of the family: U4 small nuclear RNA (U4 snRNA) is a component of the major U2-dependent spliceosome. The structure of U4 snRNA from yeast and human has been reported. U4 snRNA presents a k-turn RNA motif in the 5p-SL related to recognition of Snu13 protein. Lineage: Eukaryota; Metazoa; Chordata; Mammalia; Rodentia; Octodontidae. The record is from Ensembl.